Molecule: ribosomal RNA, 497 nt
Filed under: uncultured bacterium
Lineage: Bacteria
Description: partial 16S ribosomal RNA
Rfam family: Bacterial small subunit ribosomal RNA
Source: RNAcentral
GAUGAACGCUGGCGGCGUGCCUAAUACAUGCAAGUCGAGCGAACGGACGAGAAGCUUGCUUCUCUGAUGUUAGCGGCGGACGGGUGAGUAACACGUGGAUAACCUACCUAUAAGACUGGGAUAACUUCGGGAAACCGGAGCUAAUACCGGAUGAUAUUUUGAACCGCAUGGUUCAAAAGUGAAAGACGGUCUUGCUGUCACUUAUAGAUGGAUCCGCGCUGCAUUAGCUAGUUGGUAAGGUAACGGCUUACCAAGGCAACGAUGCAUAGCCGACCUGAGAGGGGGAUCGGCCACACGAGAACUGAGACACGGUCCAGACUCCUACGGGAGGCAGCAGUAGGGAAUCUUACGCAAUGGGCGAAAGCCUGACGGAGCAACGCCGCGUGAGUGAUGAAGGUCUUCGGAUCGUAAAACUCUGUUAUUAGGGAAGAACAUAUGUGUAAGUAACUGUGCACAUCUUGACGGUACCUAAUCAGAAAGCCACGGCUAACUACGUG